GAUAAACGCUGGCGGCGUGCAUAACACAUGCAAGUCGAACGAUGAAGAUUAAAAGAUUUCUUCGGAAUGAACUUAAUUGGAUUAGUGGCGGACGGGUGAGUAACGCGUGAGUAACCUGCCUUGUACAAGGGGAUAGCCGUUGGAAACGACGAAUAAUACCCUAUGACAUCAAAUAAUCGCAUGAUAAUUUGAUCAAAGAUUUAUCGGUAUAAGAUGGACUCGCGUCUGAUUAGCUAGUUGGUAGAGUAAAAGCCUACCAAGGCAACGAUCAGUAGCCGGCUUGAGAGAGUGUACGGCCACAUUGGGACUGAGACACGGCCCAGACUCCUACGGGAGGCAGCAGUGGGGAAUUAUGCACAAUGGGGGAAACCCUGAUGCAGCGACGCCGCGUGAUUUAGAAGGCCUGCGGGUUGUAAAAAUCUUUUGUAUGGGAAGAAAAUGACAGUACCAUAAGAAUAAGGACCGGCUAAUUACGUG
Molecule: ribosomal RNA, 477 nt
Filed under: uncultured bacterium
Lineage: Bacteria
Description: partial 16S ribosomal RNA
Rfam family: Bacterial small subunit ribosomal RNA
Source: RNAcentral